GAUGAAGAACGUAGCAAAAUGCGAUAAGUAAUGUGAAUUGCAGAAUUCAGUGAAUCAUCGAAUCUUUGAACGCACAUUGCGCCCGCCAGUAUUCUGGCGGGCAUGCCUGUCCGAGCGUCAUUUCAACCAUCAAGCCCCGGGCUUGUGUUGGGGACCUGCGUCCGACGCAGGCCCUGAAAACCAGUGGCGGGCUCGCUGUCCACACCGAGCGUAGUAACUAACCUCGCUAUGGAGUGGCGCGGGCGCCUGCCGUAAAACCCCCAAUUUCACAAGGUUGACCUCGGAUCAGGUAGGAAUACCCGCUGAACUUAAGCAUAUCAAUAAGCGGAGGA
Molecule: unclassified non-coding RNA, 332 nt
Filed under: soil metagenome
Description: partial contains 5.8S ribosomal RNA, internal transcribed spacer 2, and large subunit ribosomal RNA
Rfam family: 5.8S ribosomal RNA (bases 1-120)
Source: RNAcentral